This 402-nucleotide transfer-messenger RNA is filed under the name Candidatus Peribacteraceae. RNAcentral describes it as "UBA2144 sp002328295 Standard tmRNA". It matches the Rfam family "transfer-messenger RNA". From Rfam's summary of the family: Bacterial tmRNA, also known as 10Sa RNA or SsrA, is named for its dual tRNA and mRNA-like properties. Its role is to liberate the mRNA from a stalled ribosome. The record is from RNAcentral. Lineage: Bacteria; Candidatus Peregrinibacteriota; Candidatus Peribacteria; Candidatus Peribacterales. RNAcentral also lists the same sequence under 1 other name.
GGGGAUGACAGGCUUCGACUUCGUGAUACCUGAGUCUGCUUGUUUCUGUUCGGGAUGGCAACGGUUCCCGUACCCACUUGUUGCACGAAUAAUUGCAAAUCUUGCAAGAGUUCCUGAGGUGUUCAAGAAGGCUUUCGCGGGUUUUACAUUCGCACCUUCUAUGGCCCUCGCCUAGUUCCGCUCAUGCGGAACACGCUCUCCCUUUGAUUCUCGCUAUUUGGAUAGAGCGUCAUCAGCGAGACGGAAUAUGACUUGAUGUGAUCAUUCCUCCGUAAUCUAACAUCGCCACUCUCAAUCCUUCUUUGUUCUUUUCCUCGAGAUUGAGAAAAUGAAAAGUUCAUGACAGUAUGGACACUUACUUCAGCACGUAGCACCCGGGUUCAAUUCCCGGCAUCUCCACCA